This is a non-coding RNA of Pan troglodytes (chimpanzee), 164 nucleotides long. It matches the Rfam family "Metazoan signal recognition particle RNA". Rfam says of the family: The signal recognition particle (SRP) is a universally conserved ribonucleoprotein. It is involved in the co-translational targeting of proteins to membranes. The eukaryotic SRP consists of a 300-nucleotide 7S RNA and six proteins: SRPs 72, 68, 54, 19, 14, and 9. The record is from Rfam. Lineage: Eukaryota; Metazoa; Chordata; Mammalia; Primates; Hominidae.
GCCGGGCGUGGUGGUGUGCGCCUGUAAUCCCAGCUACUCGGGAGGCUGAGUCAGGAGAAUUGCUUGAACCUGGGAGGCGGAGGUUGCAGUGAGCCAAGAUCGCGCUCUUGGCUGCGAUCCAGACUGCACUCCAGCCUGGGUGACAGAGCAAGACUCUGUCUCAA